This 243-nucleotide small RNA is filed under the name Oryza sativa Japonica Group (Japanese rice). RNAcentral's name for it is "sRNA Os01g0530316". Lineage: Eukaryota; Viridiplantae; Streptophyta; Magnoliopsida; Poales; Poaceae. The record is from RNAcentral.
GUAUAACCUAGGAGUUCUUUUGCACACAAACCUUUUAUAUCUAGACUGCACUGGUACUGGAAAUCAGGCUACUGUUGUACUGGAUGCCUGAAACGUGUACAUAAUCAGCAGCUGAUGUCUCACUCUGAUACUUCUGUAGUAUAGGUUGACUAAAAUGUAGCAGUUAUAUAUUGUAGAACAGCUUUAUGCAAUGGGUUGUUGACAGUUGACACCUUAAGCUAAGUUGGAAUGCCAUCAUGAAUC